ACCCUUUAUCUCUGAGGGCCUAUACCAGAAAGAAAAAGGGAGAUUAGCACUUAGACUUACUUUUCCUCCAUCUUCUUUCACUUACAUCCACUUUCUAUUCUUACUAUACUUUUCCAACUGAUCUGCUUAGAUGUCUUUAUUUAUUAGCAAAACUGCCCUCGAACUAAUGUGCCUCACAUGUAACUAAUAAGCAGAAAUUGUUCUCUCCCCCUUGAUUUAAUCCUCGGAAGUUUAUGUAGCCACUAGUGAAGAGUAUCCAAGAGAUGGAUAAGGAGACAAAGGAGGCACGGAGAAUAUUCCCAUCUCUUUACUGUCUGCUCCGUCCCAAAACCCCAUCCAACUUGACGGUGUUAAUGGACAAGCAUCAGCCUAAGCUUGAACUUCUUCCCUCUUCACAGCUUUAUGGCUGCUCAGGUGGCUUUCAUCCUCUGUUACUUCCUCGUAGUAAAGCAGCUUUGUCAUAACCUCUUGCAGCUUUUAUGGCCGAGUCAAAAGACACUAACCAAACAUGAACACCUUAAGCUGAUUCGGGUAUCCAAAUAGAACCCAAAAACGAAUCGCCUUCUCUCCGGUCCCAGCAAGUAUCUCCGCCCCUUCGCUCAGGUAAGUAUCUCCGCCUCUUCGACUCCGGCAACCUCCUCCGCUUUGAUUCUUGUCGAAGUUGAAUUGAGUAUCAAAAAUAUUUGAUUUGGAGAAAUCUGAAAGAACAAGGUUAUUGUUGGUGGUGGUUCGAGAGUUUGUCGUCAUCGUCUUUAUCGGUUCGAGGGUUGGUUAUCCUUCAAUGGGAUUUGUGGAUAGUUACUUUUGGAUAGUUACUUUUGAUUAUUAGAUUAAGAAUCUGAGGAAUUUCAUUCUGUAUAUCCAUAACACCAAGUCCAUAUGUUCAUUACAAUUUUGCAUUA
Non-coding RNA from Camelina sativa (false flax), 902 nucleotides. The record is from RefSeq and is a predicted model, not a curated record. Lineage: Eukaryota; Viridiplantae; Streptophyta; Magnoliopsida; Brassicales; Brassicaceae.